AGAACGAACGCUGGCGGCAUGCCUAAUACAUGCAAGUCGAACGAUCCCUUCGGGGAUAGUGGCGCACGGGUGCGUAACGCGUGGGAAUCUGCCCUUGGGUUCGGAAUAACUUCGGGAAACUGAAGCUAAUACCGGAUGAUGACGAAAGUCCAAAGAUUUAUCGCCCAGGGAUGAGCCCAUGUCGGAUUAGCUAGUUGGCGGGGUAACGGCCCACCAAGGCGACGAUCCGUAGCUGGUCUGAGAGGAUGAUCAGCCACACUGGAACUGAGACACGGUCCAGACUCCUACGGGAGCAGCAGUAGGGAAUAUUGGACAAUGGGCGCAAGCCUGAUCCAGCCAUGCCGCGUGAGUGAAGAAGGCCGUU
RNAcentral lists this ribosomal RNA (364 nucleotides) under uncultured soil bacterium. Its description in RNAcentral is "bacterial SSU rRNA". It matches the Rfam family "Bacterial small subunit ribosomal RNA", at positions 26 to 419 of the family's 1533-position model. The record is from RNAcentral.